GGUGGCUUAGUGGUAGAGUGCUUGCCUCACAUGCAGGAGGCCCUGGGUUCAAUUCCUCAGCACCA
RNAcentral lists this transfer RNA (65 nucleotides) under Dipodomys ordii (Ord's kangaroo rat). It matches the Rfam family "tRNA". From Rfam's summary of the family: Transfer RNA (tRNA) molecules are approximately 80 nucleotides in length. Their secondary structure includes four short double-helical elements and three loops (D, anti-codon, and T loops). The record is from Rfam by way of RNAcentral. Lineage: Eukaryota; Metazoa; Chordata; Mammalia; Rodentia; Heteromyidae.